Molecule: transfer RNA, 76 nt
Filed under: compost metagenome
Description: tRNA-Arg
Rfam family: tRNA
About the family: Transfer RNA (tRNA) molecules are approximately 80 nucleotides in length.
Source: RNAcentral
GCGCUCGUAGCUCAGUUGGAUAGAGCGUCUGACUACGAAUCAGAAGGUCUCAGGUUCAAGUCCUGACGGGCGCGCC